This 449-nucleotide ribosomal RNA is filed under the name uncultured bacterium. Its description in RNAcentral is "partial 16S ribosomal RNA". It matches the Rfam family "Bacterial small subunit ribosomal RNA", at positions 29 to 523 of the family's 1533-position model. The record is from RNAcentral.
AACGAACGCUGGUGGCAUGCCUAACACAUGCAAGUCGAACGAGAUCUUCGGGUCUAGUGGCGCACGGGUGCGUAACGCGUGGGAAUCUGCCCUUUGGUUCGGAAUAACAGUUGGAAACGACUGCUAAUACCGGAUGAUGACGAAAGUCCAAAGAUUUAUCGCCAGAGGAUGAGCCCGCGUAGGAUUAGCUAGUUGGUGGGGUAAAGGCGCACCAAGGCGACGAUCCUUAGCUGGUCUGUGAGGAUGAUCAGCCACACUGGGACUGAGACACGGCCCAGACUCAUACGGGAGGCAGCAGUGGGGAAUAUUGGACAAUGGGCGAAAGCCUGAUCCAGCAAUGCCGCGUGAGUGAUGAAGGCCUUAGGGUUGUAAAGCUCUUUUACCCGGGAUGAUAAUGACAGUACCGGGAGAAUAAGCUCCGGCUAACUCCGUGCCAGCAGCCGCGGUAA